This 452-nucleotide ribosomal RNA is filed under the name uncultured bacterium. RNAcentral describes it as "SSU rRNA". It matches the Rfam family "Bacterial small subunit ribosomal RNA", at positions 26 to 518 of the family's 1533-position model. The record is from RNAcentral.
AGGAUGAACGCUGGCGGCGUGCCUAAUACAUGCAAGUCGAACGAGGUCUUCGGACCGAGUGGCGAACGGGUGAGUAACACGUUGGUACCUACCCCGAAGUGGGAAUAACUGCCCGAAAGGGUGGCUAAUACCGCAUAAAUACCGCAAGGUUAAAGCAGUAAUGCGCUUCGGGAGGGGCCUGCGUCCCAUUAGCUAGUUGGUAGGGUAAUGGCCUACCAAGGCGACGAUGGGUAGCUGGAUCGAGAGGUUGACCAGCCACACUGGGACUGAGAUACGGCCCAGACUCCUACGGGAGGCAGCAGUAAGGAAUCUUCCACAAUGGACGAAAGUCUGAUGGAGCAAACGCCGCGUGCAGGAUGACGGCCUUCGGGUUGUAAACUGCUUUUAUAUGGGUAAGAUUAUGACGGUACCAUAUGAAUAAGGACCGGACUAACUAACGUGCCAGCAGCCGC